Molecule: ribosomal RNA, 1023 nt
Filed under: Triticum aestivum (bread wheat)
Lineage: Eukaryota; Viridiplantae; Streptophyta; Magnoliopsida; Poales; Poaceae
Description: partial small subunit ribosomal RNA
Source: RNAcentral
AUGUUUGAAUCGGUUGCAACUGGUUUAAGGGCGGGGGUUGGAGAUGCCGUUAGAAGAAGAAAGGAGACGAAUCUAGGGCCACGCCACUUUUCCCCAUUCCCUGCUCAGUCCAGUUCUCCACCCAAACAGAGCAAGAGCAGGAAAACUCCCAAGAAGAAGAAAGAAGGGGAGGAAGCAGAUAAGCGGAAUCAGGAAGGGGAAAUGGCGGAAUCGAACUCGUACGAGGAGCAGCGCCGGAGGCAGAUUGAGGAGAACCGCCGGAAGCUGGACGAGCUCCGCCUGCAUCACCUCUCCGCCGCCGUCCGCGAGGCCGCCGCCAGGCCCAAGCCCAACCCCAAACCGGUCCGUCAGUUCCUCUCCCUUCUUCUUCCUUGCCUCCGGUCUUCCAUCUCCUUUUUCUCCCGUAUGCAUGACUGGUCCGCUGCUUCCGUGUCGCAGAAGCCGAAGGCCCCGCCCCCCGGCGAGCUCCGGCGGUCCGGCCGCGUCGCCAGCCUCCCGGAGCAGCCCAACUACCUCAAGGGCGCGCAGCAGCGCGACUACCAGGGACUGUACGCCGAUGUUAUUUGGAAAGGGCCGACCGACGAGGAGAGGGCCACCGCCGCCGCCAAGGCCGAGGAGCUCCAGCGCCAGAUUCACCGCAUCCGCUGGCCCGCCUUCGUCAAGCCCAUCACCCACGCCUGCGCCAGCAGGGCAAACUUUAUGACUAUCCCGAAGCAAUCCACCGAGUACCUCCCGGCGCACGAUGAGCCAGUCGUCGUGGUGGAUGAGGCGGAUGACGAGUCCCACAUGAUGUACAAUGCCAGCAGACAGGGCAGGCACUGCUACCUCAGCAAGGGGUGGAGAGAGUUUGCCGUCGACUAUGACCUUGAAAAUGGCGAUUGCUUGGUUUUCCAGCUGAUAGAGAGCGCAAAGUUCAAGGUGAGAUUCAGCAUGCCCUCGGCUCCAUGGGUCUACAUUUUUAGAGCAAGCCCAGACUAUGAGAGCGACGAAACUUCCGAUGACUCUGAGGAUGAACAGAAGUGA